GCCCUCCCCCUUCCACUCAACUGUCAUCGACUUUGUCUUUCCGUGCAUCGCUGCCCCUCUCUCGCUGAAAGAGGCGCCGGCAAGUCGAAGAUGGCCGUGGCCGGCCCUUCCUGGCCCACCCCCAUCGUGCCGCCGGUGGACGAGGGAGAGUGGGCACUCCUGCAUCCCAUGAAGACGUCUCUCGUAGCCCUCAUCCCCGGUGCGGCGCAGGGCGCCACCACCGUAGUGCUCGGUCACCCGCUUGACACCGCGAAGGUCCGCAUGCAGUCCGGUGGGCCUCACACGUGCCGAUCUACCGUUGGCACGAUGUGGUUGAUGGCCACGGCAGAGGGCCCAAGCAGCCUUUACCGCGGGGUAGCUCCUCCACUGCUGAUGGAAGGCAUCAAGCGCAGCGUGCAGUUCGCCCUGUGGGACUGGAUGCGUGCCUUCGCCAGGGACGCGUCGGCAAGCCGCAACGGCGCAGACGGAGCAGCUAGAGGUGGUGCGGGUGGCGCUUGGGAGGCUGUGCGAGACUGCGCGCAUUGUGGCUUGGUGGGGAUCGGCAGUAACAGUUUUGUAUGCGGUGCCGUGGCGGGUGGCGUGGGGACGCUGAUUGGGUGCCCCAUGCACGUUAUCAAGAUACAGACACAGUGCCAGACUGCCAUGGGCACGCGGAACGCCUGGACGUGCACGCGAAGCAUCUACGACCGGGAGGGCAUCUUCGGCUUUUACCGUGGCUUUCGGUGCAACGUGGCAAAGGACGUAUGUUUUGCCGGCAUGUACCUCGGCCUCUACGCGGUCCUGCGCGAGCAUCCCGUCUUUGAGCCGCCUUCCGCGAGCACCACUGCGGAGACGACGACGACGACGACUCGCCCUUCGCGCAAGACAAACAUGUGCGCCUUCCUCUCCGGUGCAGUCGCCUCCAUGGCUACCUGGGGGCUCCUAUUCCCGCUGGACACCAUCAAGACAUUGGUGCAGGCACGACAGGCACACGCUGUCCUUUCGGUGCUGCGCCAGCCCGCUCUCCUCUACAGGGGUUUGGCCGCCUCGCUCAUCAAGGCGGGCCCCGUUUCGGGGGUGGCAAUGGCCGUGUACGAGCAGACGUGGGCCUUCGUGAACAAGCGACCGACGUUGCGCUAGUCGGGGGGGGGGGGGGGCACCGAGCAAGAGCGAAGUCAAACGCCGCACACGUCUCUCCUUUUUUCAUCGUGCGUCCAUUCAGCAGCGACACGAGGGCGCGUGGUGCUCUCCGCCUUCGCCGCCAUUGUGAUGAGGGCCGCUCACAAUGGCGGCGUGGCAAGUGUUGGCGUGCGUCGAUGCUUUCUGGGGACGAGGGGGGGGAAGCAGUUGUGCCCUGGGGUCGUCCUUAUUCCUCCGUGCGUUGCGCAUGUGUCUGUAAUAGUGAUGGAUUUGUGGAGGUUCAUCUUCGCCCUUUUGCGGCUUCGCUGAUUUUGAUGCGUAUGCACUCAUGAUGAUUGUGCGUGUGUGUGUGUAUCUUCCUCUGUUUUCCGUCCUCUUGCGCAGACCCCUUUCCUGCGCAUCGCAUCCUUCGCUCACUCUCGACGCUCGCCCGCCCACCUCACUCCCUCCCCAAGGAACGCGCAAGUGCGCAUGCGCGCAUGCGCCCACGAUGUGUACUGUCACUGAAAAUGUGGCAUCGCCUCCCUUCUCUUCCUUCGCAGCUCUUCCGCAGCCGUCAACAACAGACGCGCCCCACUACCACCACCAUCACCGCGGCCGCAGAAAAGCGCCCGACUGCGCGCUGCGGUUAGUAGGAUGGCACUGGGCGACGCGCGCGGAAGCGCGAUGUAUGCACAACCUUAUUUCAUCCAAGGGAAGUGGGCGGCAACCGAAGGACGGGGCGGCGCAAGAGGGUGCGGAGAUGAAACACACAGCGCACAUAUAUACAAGCCAGCGGGAGUGGAUGGGUGAGUCGGUGUACGAACACGGAAACGCUGUGCCGGGCCAAACUUCUUCGGCGCACACAC
RNAcentral lists this unclassified non-coding RNA (1967 nucleotides) under Leishmania donovani. RNAcentral's name for it is "gene:LdHU3.09.1580(CDS-product:mitochondrial_carr ier_protein_putative)". The record is from RNAcentral. Lineage: Eukaryota; Euglenozoa; Kinetoplastea; Trypanosomatida; Trypanosomatidae.